This 472-nucleotide ribosomal RNA is filed under the name uncultured bacterium. RNAcentral describes it as "bacterial SSU rRNA". It matches the Rfam family "Bacterial small subunit ribosomal RNA", at positions 26 to 518 of the family's 1533-position model. The record is from RNAcentral.
AGGACGAACGCUGGCGGCGUGCUUCAUACAUGCAAGUCGAACGAGAAGCUGACUUCGGUCAGUGGAAAGUGGCGGACGGGUGAGUAAUAUGUAGAGAAUCUGCCCUUGGGUGGGGGACAACAGAGGGAAACUUCUGCUAAUACCCCAUAUGAGCUAACUUGAAAUAGUUAUCUUGAAAACUCCGGUGCUCAAGGAUGAGUCUGCAUCUGAUUAGCUAGUUGGCGGUGUAAUGGACCACCAAGGCGACGAUCAGUAGCUGGUUUGAGAGGAUGAUCAGCCACAAUGGGACUGAGACACGGCCCAUACUCCUACGGGAGGCAGCAGUAGGGAAUUUUGCGCAAUGGGCGAAAGCCCUGACGCAGCAACGCCGCGUGAACGAUUAAGCCCUUCGGGGUGUAAAGUUCUGUCAGUAGGGACGAAUUUUGACGGUACCUACAGAGGAAGCACCGGCUAACUCCGUGCCAGCAGCGGC